AGCAGCCGCGGUAAUUCCAGCUCCAAUAGCGUAUAUUAAAGUUGUUGCAGUUAAAAAGCUCGUAGUUGAAUUUCGGGGUUAGUAGAUUGGUCAUGCCUCUGGUAUGUACUGGUCUCACUGAUUCCUCCUUCCUGAUGAUCCGUAAUGCCAUUAAUUUGGUGUUGCGGGGAAUUUGGACUGUUACUUUGAAAAAAUUAGAGUGUUUAAAGCAAGCUAACGCUUGAAUACAUUAGCAUGGAAUAAUGAAAUAGGACGUUCGGUCCUAUUUUGUUGGUUUCUAGGAUUGACGUAAUGAUUAAUAGGGAUAGUUGGGGGCAUUAGUAUUCAAUUGUCAGAGGUGAAAUUCUUGGAUUUAUUGAAGACUAACUACUGCGAAAGCAUUUGCCAAGGAUGUUUUCAUUAAUCAAGAACGAAAGUUAGGGGAUCGAAGACGAUCAGAUACCGUCGUAGUCUUAACCAUAAACUAUGCCGACUAGGGAUCGGAUGAUGCUAAUUUUUUAAUGACUCA
This 508-nucleotide ribosomal RNA is filed under the name uncultured glomeraceous AM fungus. Its description in RNAcentral is "SSU rRNA". It matches the Rfam family "Eukaryotic small subunit ribosomal RNA", at positions 569 to 1078 of the family's 1831-position model. Lineage: Eukaryota; Fungi; Glomeromycota; Glomeromycetes; Glomerales; Glomeraceae. The record is from RNAcentral.